RNAcentral lists this ribosomal RNA (500 nucleotides) under uncultured Bacillus sp. RNAcentral describes it as "bacterial SSU rRNA". It matches the Rfam family "Bacterial small subunit ribosomal RNA", at positions 394 to 885 of the family's 1533-position model. The record is from RNAcentral. Lineage: Bacteria; Bacillati; Bacillota; Bacilli; Caryophanales; Bacillaceae.
ACGCCGCGUGAGUGAUGAGGUUUUCGGAUCGUAAAGCUCUGUUGUUAGGGAAGAACAAGUGCCGUUCAAAUAGGGCGGCACCUUGACGGUACCUAACCAGAAAGCCACGGCUAACUACGUGCCAGCAGCCGCGGUAAUACGUAGGUGGCAAGCGUUGUCCGGAAUUAUUGGGCGUAAAGGGCUCGCAGGCGGUUUCUUAAGUCUGAUGUGAAAGCCCCCGGCUCAACCGGGGAGGGUCAUUGGAAACUGGGGAACUUGAGUGCAGAAGAGGAGAGUGGAAUUCCACGUGUAGCGGUGAAAUGCGUAGAGAUGUGGAGGAACACCAGUGGCGAAGGCGACUCUCUGGUCUGUAACUGACGCUGAGGAGCGAAAGCGUGGGGAGCGAACAGGAUUAGAUACCCUGGUAGUCCACGCCGUAAACGAUGAGUGCUAAGUGUUAGGGGGUUUCCGCCCCUUAGUGCUGCAGCUAACGCAUUAAGCACUCCGCCUGGGGAGUACGG